Molecule: long non-coding RNA, 3952 nt
Filed under: Nicotiana benthamiana
Lineage: Eukaryota; Viridiplantae; Streptophyta; Magnoliopsida; Solanales; Solanaceae
Description: long non-coding RNA (NBEN_LNC009579)
Source: RNAcentral
AGAGAUAGAUAAUUCUGAAAAAAAACACAAACGGCUGAAAAAUUAAAGUGAAAUUACUGUUUCAUUGAAACUCCUUUUGUGAUUUCUUAAGUUUCCAAUUCCUGAAAAUAUUUUCUGAUUAAUCUAGAUUCAAAAUGGAUUUAAAUUGGGUGUUUGAGGUUUGGUUUUGAAGUUACUGUGGUUAUUGUUCGAGUGACACUAUCUUUUAUUGUUUUCACAAUCAUCUUGGUUUGAACUUGUGUUUCUAGUGCUGGCUUGCUACUAUUAUACUGUCGAGUCCUCAUUUUUUCUAUUUUGUUUUCGAGUUCCAGGUACAUUUUUCUGAGCUUUGCUUUGAUGUAAAUUUUAGCUGGAAGAUGGGAAUGAGAAGUUAAUGCAUUGCAGCAGACUUAUCUGAGUUUCAUUUAUUUAUUUUUAUUUAUUUUUUCCUUAGAUCGUAUGAAUCUUUGUUCAUUCUAGCUAAUUUGAGUUUUGAACAAUGGAUUCACAUAGUUGUACUUAAUUUGGGAUUGUUGAAGUGAUGGCAUUUUUGGUACGUUGUGAAUCGGACUUCGCCUUAGAUAAGAUGAUUGUCCAUGCUUGAUAAUGGUUUGUGUUCGAAAUAUUUUUUAAAUAGGCUAAGGGUAAUCAUGACCUUGUUUGAUAUAUUGUCAAAGGGCAGUGAGUGAUUUUAGUUUAAAAUAUGGUGUAGAAGUUGAAAUGCUUAUUCAGUAUGUUUAGAAGUGAAAAUUAAGGAAUGAGCAUGAUUUAGUUUUCAUGGCUUUCAAUAGUUGCAAACUGUUAUGGUCUCAUUGAUUAGCAUAUGAAUAUGUUUUAAAUAAAAUGGUUUAGAAAGGUUUUCAGUUAGUUCUAAUCAGUUUCUUGAUGCCCAGCAACUGUUAAUUUAAUCUGGUGGUUUUUCAAUGUCAAAUUUACAAAGCUACUGAUGUCUAAAAAUUCCUUUAUUGUCACACUGCCAAAUCUGAUUGCUUCUGCUAUUGUACAGGUUUCAUAUGGAAUCCCUGAAUGUCCAGCUUGUGUGUUACUUCGUACGAAUCAGGAUUAUAUUGGGCCUGACAUGAAACAACUUGCCCAGAAUCGGGAUAAGGUAUUAGGCAUCGGUUGGGCCUACUUGAUUUUGUUGGCCUAGUUCCCUUGCUUGAUAUUUUAUGGAUAUCAAUUUAACUUGGGUUUCUUAGAAUAAUAAAUAUUCUGAACUUCUAAAGUUGCCUCACUAUCAUAAUUAAUUAGACUUUCUAAAAUGAACUUGAGGUGUGCCAUAUUUAGCAACAAAUAUCUAUAGCCCUCAUGGUUAAGUCUAGAAAUUGGAAUUGAGGUGCGCUGCGCCAAAUAAAAUCUCAAAUACGUGGUCCUCAUUUAGUUACUUCUUUUAAAUCCUUAGAACUCGAGGCGUUCCAUUUAGAAAAUUUUCCACGGCCCUCGCAAAGUUAAAAAUGCGUAGUCGCUUUAGGCACGUUUUUAAUAAUAUUACCUUCCUAAACUCGGGUACGCAUUUCAUGUGACCCAAAUCACAAUGUUAAAUAAAAUGUGUCUCAGUCCGCAGGUGCAUUUCAUGUGGCGUGGUUCAAAAAUAUAUUUUAGAUAAUGUUGAAAUCUUCUUAAAAAUAAUUAAAAGCGGUUUUAAAGUUAAAAAUGUAUCAUGGACUAAAACAUGUAUUAAAUUAGAUAAUUGGUCAAUUAUAAUAGUUUAAGCGACCACGCUAGAACCACGGAAUACGGGGGUGCCUAACACAUUCCCUCGGGUUAACAUAAUUCUUUAUUCAGAAUUUUUGGUUUGUAGACUUCAAAAGGAAAGUCGAAAUCUUCCUCGAUUUGGGAUUAAAAAUAAACCGGUGACUUGGGACACCAGAAAACAAACCUACUAGUGGCGACUCUGAAUUGAAUAAAUAAUCCCAUUUUGAAUAGUGCAAGUUAAAUUGGAAAAACUCCCUUAUACACUAUCCUUCGGGGUUGGUGUAUUGUAAAAAUGAGGUGUGAUAGCUGGCCAUUAGGGUUUUGAGGUCUUUUUAUUCACUAUGUAUGAAGUUGUUCAUAAUACGUUUGAGACUUUGAGUUCCUAUUUUCUGGUUUCAUUUCUACAUGCUUCAAUUAGAAUUAAUUGCCUUAGGAUUCAAUCUUAUUGCCUAUUUGACUCUUAUUUGACUUAACUGAAGAUUUUGCCUCUUCUACCGUUAUGGUAUCUUUUCACAACCGUUUAACUUUAAUUGAAAUUAUUACUAUCUCAUCCUAUAAUUUUUAGUCUUAAUUGGAGCUAUGAUAUCUUCUGUUGCAUACCAUUAUUUGAAUUGUUGAAUAUCUUUUGCAAAUUGCUCAACCUUAAAAGGAGUUUAGAUAACAUAUAUCUUAGUUGACUUGACUUUAUUUAGGACUAUUGGACUCGUGUUGACUUCCUAAUUGUUGACUUGUAUAUUGUGGGAUCGUUUCUAUAUAGUUGUCUUCCCUUGUUGAACUGUUCCCUUUAUGCCUAGUAUUCUUUACUGUGAUUAUUCCUUGUGAACUGGUUCUACCGUUUCUUUGUGAUUUAAAGUUUUUGAGUUGAUUUACUCGGCAUACUUUGUAUUAUUGUCAUUUUUAAUGUUGCACUUGUUGUGGUGAUGUAUAAGGUUUAUGUUGUGCUAUAGCUAUUAUUUCUAUUGGUUGCGCUGCAUAUUUACUUUGGGGCUACAGGACGGUAUCCCCAUAGGGUUGUUUUACAUAUUUACUUUGGGACUACAAAAAGGUAUUCCGGUAUAUCCGUUGCACGUUUACGUUUGGGAAUAUGGGAAGAUAUACCAAUAAAUCUCCUUGUUCUGCAUAUUUACUUUGGGACUACAAAACGAUAUUCCGAUAGAUCUCCCAACACAUUUACAUUCGGGACUACAGGGUAGUAUACUGGGAUAUCCCAUGUUAUUAUCAUUGUGUUCAGAACUGUGCUUUUAAUUGAUCAUAUCCCUAUGCAAAUAUUCUACGUGUUGUCCGUUCUUUUCUUUAUGCUUACUUGCUGGUAUGAACUAUAUUAGGAAACUUGCACAAGUAUACACGUGGAUAAGCACCCUUAUCGGAUAAAAGGCUUCUUGAUAUUGCUGAAUAUAGAGACACUCCCUUCUUUAUUUGCCUUCCAUGUGAGAAUGGCUCUAUUUGGCACGUGAGUUAUCGGUACGAUUCUGAGGUAUGAUGAGGGCACAUGAUGCCAAGUGUUAGGGUUCAGGUAUUGAGAUCUGUAUUGUAUGAUUAUGAGGAGAGGUGUCAUAAGGUGACUUAUAAUCGAAGGAUAUUUAUUCGGAAAGAUUAUAUUUGAAAGGUAUUUAUUUUGAAAGAACUAUUUUUGAAAAAUAUUUAUUUGAAAAAAGUAUAUUUUGAAAUAUUUUUAUCACUUGAAGGAUUUGACUAAUUGAAUGGAGUUUGUUGGCUAAGACCUAAUGUGAAAAUUGUCCUAGUUGCUAAAUUAUGACUUGCCUUUACUGUGUUCGGAUUCGGAUUUGGGUUGUAUUUUCGUUCACUCUUCUGUAUUCUUAUUAUGGUGUUCCGCUGUUACUUGAGAUUUUCUUUCCUUAUUGCAAUUACUGUAUUGUUAUCCGCAUCACGUAUUCUUUAUAUAGAUGUCAUGUUAUGCUGUUUCUAUUCUUAUGCUUGUUCAAUUUAUUAGACUAGUAGGUGUCUUGACUAUUCCUCAUCACUACUCCACCAAGGUUAGUCUUGAUACUUACUAGGCACCACUGUGGUGUGCUCAUACUACACUUCUACAUAUGUUUUGUGCAGAUUCAGGUAUUGUUUGUUAGUAGCUGUGCAGAUGAUUCUUGCCGAAGAGACUCAAGGUAACCCUGCUGCUGCGUUCACAGGCUUCGGAGUUCCCUUUCUAUUUUGUAUUCACAAUGUUGUAUUUAUUUCCAUACAGUAAUGUUUAGAAUUUGUAGUGAAACUCUUUAGAGCUUAUGACUUAUACUACCAGUUUUGAGAAUUUGUAAGUUUUGUG